ACAUUUAAGGUUGCAUUUAUUUCUUUUUAAAAAAUGUUGAAAAAUAAACCCAUGUCUGUGUAAGUCCCCAACCCUUCUUUCUCCAAGCUUUUGGGGGUGGACAGAGUGGGCCUCCUCACAGCUUCCCAACAUUCUUCCCACAAGGCUUCUGCCAUGCCCACCCCAGUCCCCUUCCACUGCACCUGACUUAUUGCUAAAAGGAAGGAAAGGUGGGUGAGGCCAGCUAACACACCAGCUCUCCCUCAGCCCCCAGGCUCAGUCACUACCACACACAAAGGGUAGGCCCAGAGGCCAAGCCCUCCAAAGGCAGGCAGGCAGGCAGGCAAGGAGGCAGCCAUUCCAGUCACAGCCAGGAAGCCAGAGUCCCUGCAGGCCCUGAGAUCUAGCCCCUGGCUGGGGGUUUACAAGCUCAACUGCCAGGAACACAUGCAGAACCCACAGG
This 442-nucleotide long non-coding RNA is filed under the name Rattus norvegicus (Norway rat). RNAcentral's name for it is "long non-coding RNA NONRATT010789". The record is from RNAcentral. Lineage: Eukaryota; Metazoa; Chordata; Mammalia; Rodentia; Muridae.